This 870-nucleotide ribosomal RNA is filed under the name uncultured bacterium. Its description in RNAcentral is "bacterial SSU rRNA". It matches the Rfam family "Bacterial small subunit ribosomal RNA", at positions 8 to 900 of the family's 1533-position model. The record is from RNAcentral.
AGAGUUUGAUCCUGGCUCAGGAUGAACGCUGGCGGCGCGCCUAACACAUGCAAGUCGAACGGCACCCAUCUUCGGAUGGAAGCGAGUGGCGAACGGCUGAGUAACACGUGGAGAACCUGCCCCCUCCCCCGGGAUAGCCGCCCGAAAGGACGGGUAAUACCGGAUACCCCGGGGUGCCGCAUGGCACCCCGGCUAAAGCCCCGACGGGAGGGGAUGGCUCCGCGGCCCAUCAGGUAGACGGCGGGGUGACGGCCCACCGUGCCGACAACGGGUAGCCGGGUUGAGAGACCGACCGGCCAGAUUGGGACUGAGACACGGCCCAGACUCCUACGGGAGGCAGCAGUGGGGAAUCUUGCGCAAUGGGGGGAACCCUGACGCAGCGACGCCGCGUGCGGGACGGAGGCCUUCGGGUCGUAAACCGCUUUCAGCAGGGAAGAGUCAAGACUGUACCUGCAGAAGAAGCCCCGGCUAACUACGUGCCAGCAGCCGCGGUAAUACGUAGGGGGCGAGCGUUAUCCGGAUUCAUUGGGCGUAAAGCGCGCGUAGGCGGCCCGGCAGGCCGGGGGUCGAAGCGGGGGGCUCAACCCCCCGAAGCCCCCGGAACCUCCGCGGCUUGGGUCCGGUAGGGGAGGGUGGAACACCCGGUGUAGCGGUGGAAUGCGCAGAUAUCGGGUGGAACACCGGUGGCGAAGGCGGCCCUCUGGGCCGAGACCGACGCUGAGGCGCGAAAGCUGGGGGAGCGAACAGGAUUAGAUACCCUGGUAGUCCCAGCCGUAAACGAUGGACGCUAGGUGUGGGGGGACGAUCCCCCCGUGCCGCAGCCAACGCAUUAAGCGUCCCGCCUGGGGAGUACGGCCGCAAGGCUAAAAC